CCGCCAGUAGCCCGGAUGUAGCGCACACGGGAGCGCACAGUGGCUCGCGGAUGAUAACAUGGCGCUCGCAGACACAUAACGGCGCCCACUCGGAUCAUAACAUCCACCGCAGCGGAGCCACAGCGAGCGGCGGGACAUGAAGAGAAUUCACCCGAGAGCACAUAGUACACUUUGCACAGCGUGUACAGUCUCCACAAUCAGUCAGCAAGUCUCGCUAAAUAUCUUAAAAGGUGAGACGAUGAGUCAAAGUUUUACAAAGUUUUACAGCUGGACUGGAAGUGAUCACAUGACACAACCCAUCUUUGCAUAAUGUUUCUUAUCCAACUAUCUAACAUUCUGCGAAACACAUGACGCCGUGGUAGCCACCUGUCAAUCACAGCGUAGCCCCGCCCCUGAGCGUAGCCUCCUUCAGGAUUUCGGCACAGUCUGCACAGCCACAGUUGUCCCUCCGUCCUGCACAUCGCUGCGCUCUCAUUGGGACAGAAGGAGCUUCCUUCAGGUGAUGCGGCUCCGCAGGUGUGAGACAAGCGGCGCGGAGGAGGAGGCAGUGGGACGUAAGCGUCAUGCACAGGGGAUGGAGGAGG
Gasterosteus aculeatus aculeatus (three-spined stickleback) is the source of this 584-nucleotide long non-coding RNA. The record is from Ensembl. NCBI's taxonomy places the organism in Eukaryota, Metazoa, Chordata, Actinopteri, Perciformes, Gasterosteidae.